Molecule: non-coding RNA, 86 nt
Organism: Fomitopsis serialis
Lineage: Eukaryota; Fungi; Basidiomycota; Agaricomycetes; Polyporales; Fomitopsidaceae
Source: the annotation of a RefSeq genome assembly
GGUUUAGUGGUGUAGUUGGUUAUCACGUCCGUCUCACAUGGAGUGUUUAUCACGGGAGGUCUCCGGUUCGAACCCGGGCUGAACCA